UAUAUUUGCCGAUCGAAAGAAAAGCUUUCGUGUACAUAAAAAUCAUUUAAAUAAAUAUUGGAAUG
Molecule: non-coding RNA, 65 nt
Filed under: unclassified sequences
Description: S15-Flavobacteria ribosomal protein leader
Rfam family: S15-Flavobacteria ribosomal protein leader
Source: RNAcentral